Molecule: transfer RNA, 64 nt
Filed under: Agriotes fuscicollis
Lineage: Eukaryota; Metazoa; Arthropoda; Insecta; Coleoptera; Elateridae
Description: tRNA-Pro
Source: RNAcentral
CAGAGAAUAGUUUAAUAAAAAUAUUAAUUUUGGAGAUUAAUGAUAGGAGUAUUCUUUUCUCUGA